CACAUCUGCAAUCUCCUUCUGACGCUUUAUUAUACCAGUUAGUUAUUAGACGACUGCUGAAUGUUGAAGAAGUUUUUGGAUUAUGCUAGUAAGUAUGACCUCUGCAGUUAGUUAUUGUAAACAGUAGAAUCUUUGAUGCGAAUUUGUUCUGUAUAUUGCCAUAUUUAAAUAGCAAAAACACCUAGCUACUCUGCCGGAGUGUGCCCAGCACACACUUCACUGCUGCCACUGUAUAGGGCUGCUGCAAAUUAUCAUCGAAGAUGGUUUUUUCGUCUUCAGUAUCGAGAGCAAUUCUAAAGUGCAUCUUUUCAGGUUUUAAUAUCAAUUUGAUAUUAAUGAAUGGAGGGCGGAAGAGGGGGAGAAAGAAAGAACUUCACAGAAAACAACCAUAUUCGUAACUAUCUGAUUUUUCUAGGUAUAAAAAGUUG
This 428-nucleotide small RNA is filed under the name Histoplasma capsulatum var. duboisii H88. RNAcentral describes it as "Histoplasma capsulatum H88 hypothetical RNA". Lineage: Eukaryota; Fungi; Ascomycota; Eurotiomycetes; Onygenales; Ajellomycetaceae. The record is from RNAcentral.